Merops nubicus (carmine bee-eater) is the source of this 590-nucleotide long non-coding RNA. RefSeq lists it as uncharacterized. The transcript is spliced from 2 exons. NCBI's taxonomy places the organism in Eukaryota, Metazoa, Chordata, Aves, Coraciiformes, Meropidae. The record is from RefSeq and is a predicted model, not a curated record.
GUGGAGGAGGACGACCCGGUUCCCGAGAUACGCAGGGAUCACUUUGAGGAGGCCAUGCGCUUCGCUCGCCGCUCCGUCAGUGACAACGACAUCAGGAAAUACGAGAUGUUUGCACAGACUCUGCAGCAGAGCCGUGGCUUUGGCAGCUUCAGGUUCCCGUCAGGUAACCAGGGCGGAGCUGGUCCCAGCCAAGGCACAGGAGAUGGCAGCGGGGGCAACGUGUACAGUGAAGACAACGACGAUGAUCUCUACGGUUAACUCGCUGUCCUCGGUGGACCAAACUCCAAACCAGGCCACGUUGUGCAGGGAAAAAUCCAAUGUUCAAUGGACUCUUGGCUUCUUCAUUCCUCAGUCAACAGUGUAGCUGCACGUCAGGCUCUGCACAGGGGAUAUUUUCUGCAAACAAAUACAGACCGGUUUUAAGUGGGGAAGCAGACAAUGAAUUAUUAACAAGAUGGGGAUACAAUGUAAUUUCUGAGAAAUUUCUGUUUUAGUUUAUGUCGCAGCUUUAGUAAAGAAUACAACGCUAGCCUGUUUAAAAAAGAAAAAAAAACCUAUAAAAAUAAUUAAAAAAAAAAAAAUAAAAGCCC